GCCACAGGACCCGUCCAUAGGUUGGAUGGAGUGUGGGUGACAGAGGUAAACCAGGGCUCUCGGCCUGGGCAGCAGGACAGGUGGAGUCAUCCUCACCUGUGCUGGGGACUCUGUGGGAGCAGCAGGCUUCCGAGCACGUGUUGGACCCCGGCGUCUCUGGCUGCACCGAGGGGUCAGGGCAGGGACAUUGAGGCCGCGUCAGGGAGCGUGAGAUACAGGGACAAGCGGGCCCAGGGCUGAGCCCAGCAGUGUCCGGGUGGAAGUGGCGUUGAGAUGGGAAUGGGGAAUUGCACGGGUGGUCUCAGGAGGAUGGAAAACCCAAGCAGCAGCUGGACCAGGACCGAGGCAAAGGGACCGCAGUUUAACAGAAAACCCAAAACGAGAGCGAGAAAAUGGCCAAAACCCCGUGCGAGGAGGAAACCCAAGCUCCGCCGAGCGCGGCGGGUCUGGGCCUUCGCUUCGCUUCCUUCUGACCCGACCCUGAGUUCUUUCUCCGGACGGUGUCGCGAACCCGGGCGCCGGCUGGGGCUGGGGUCUCGCUGGCCUCGGAGCCCCCCGAGCCCUCAGGCAACAGCGAGGGAACGCCAGGCCCCCGAACGCAACCCAC
Molecule: non-coding RNA, 607 nt
Filed under: Pongo abelii (Sumatran orangutan)
Lineage: Eukaryota; Metazoa; Chordata; Mammalia; Primates; Hominidae
Source: RNAcentral